This 595-nucleotide ribosomal RNA is filed under the name Neophysopella tropicalis. RNAcentral describes it as "partial 28S ribosomal RNA". It matches the Rfam family "Eukaryotic large subunit ribosomal RNA", at positions 1 to 602 of the family's 3401-position model. The record is from RNAcentral. Lineage: Eukaryota; Fungi; Basidiomycota; Pucciniomycetes; Pucciniales; Crossopsoraceae.
AAGACCUCAAAUCAGGUGGGACUACCCGCUGAACUUAAGCAUAUCAAUAAGCGGAGGAAAAGAAACUAACAAGGAUUCCCCCAGUAACGGCGAGUGAAGAGGGAAAAGCCCAAAUUUGUAAUCUGGCUCUUUUAGAGUCCGAGUUGUAAUUUUGAGAACUGUUUUCUGUGCUGGACCAUGUUUAAGUCUGUUGAAAAACAGCAUCAUUGAGGGUGAUAAUCCCGUUCAUGAUAUGGACUACCAGUGCUAUAUGAUACAGUCUCUAAGAGUCGAGUUGUUUGGGAAUGCAGCUCAAAGUGGGUGGUAAAUUCCAUCUAAGGCUAAAUAUAGGUGAGAGACCGAUAGCAAACAAGUACCGUGAGGGAAAGAUGAAAAGAACUUUGGAAAGAGAGUUAACAGUACGUGAAAUUGCUGAAAGGGAAACAAUUGAAGUUAGCCUUGUUAUUUCCAGUUCAACCCUUUUAGGGUGUAUUCUGGUAAUUAACGACCAACAUCAGUCUUUGAGUGCUGGAUAAGGGUUUUGGAAAUGUAGCAGUCUAGGCUGUGUUAUAGUCCAUUACUUUGAUACAGUGCUUAGGAUUGAGGAUCGCAGUAA